RNAcentral lists this ribosomal RNA (433 nucleotides) under uncultured bacterium. RNAcentral's name for it is "partial 16S ribosomal RNA". It matches the Rfam family "Bacterial small subunit ribosomal RNA", at positions 29 to 507 of the family's 1533-position model. The record is from RNAcentral.
AACGAACGCUGGCGGCAUGCCUAACACAUGCAAGUCGAACGAGACCUUCGGGUCUAGUUGCGCACGGGUGCGUAACGCGUGGGAACCUGCCCUUAGGUUCGGAAUAACUCCCCGAAAGGGGUGCUAAUACCGGAUAAUGUCUUCGGACCAAAGAUUUAUCGCCGUUGGAUGGGCCCGCGUUGGAUUAGCUAGUUGGUAGGGUAAAAGCCUACCAAGGCGACGAUCCAUAGCUGGUCUGAGAGGAUGAUCAGCCACACUGGGACUGAGACACGGCCCAGACUCCUACGGGAAGCAGCAGUGGGGAAUAUUGGACAAUGGGCGAAAGCCUGAUACAGCAAUGCCGCGUGAGUGAUGAAGGCCUUAGGGUUGUAAAGCUCUUUUACCCGGGAUGAUAAUGACAGUACCGGGAGAAUAAGCUCCGGCUAACUCCGUG